CGAGUCCUACGGGGCGCAGCAGUGAGGAAUAUUGGUCAAUGGGCGCGAGCCUGAACCAGCCAAGUAGCGUGAAGGAUGACUGCCCUACGGGUUGUAAACUUCUUUUAUAAAGGAAUAAAGUGAGGCACGUGUGCCUUUUUGUAUGUACUUUAUGAAUAAGGAUCGGCUAACUCCGUGCCAGCAGCCGCGGUAAUACGGAGGAUCCGAGCGUUAUCCGGAUUUAUUGGGAUUAAAGGUAGCGUAGCUGGGUUGUUAAGUCAGUUGU
Molecule: ribosomal RNA, 265 nt
Filed under: uncultured bacterium
Lineage: Bacteria
Description: partial 16S ribosomal RNA
Rfam family: Bacterial small subunit ribosomal RNA
Source: RNAcentral